GAAAAUCUCAGUAAUUGUAGUACCUCACAAUCUCUUUCAUCGACAAUAUCAAGACACUUUGAUGUUAGAAACUUCGGUAGGAAAGUGAAUUUGGACAUACCCAAGAGUUGAAAGUGACUUGUUGAUACUGGCUGCUUCCUUCAAUCGUUCACCUUCAGCACCAGAAGCCCUUUGCCUGAUAGCUUUAAAGACAUCUUGUCAGGAGCUGAUAAAACAUCAUCACGGAUCUCACCAACAUUGCAUCUACUGCGAAGUACCAAAUACUACAUUAUGAGCCAACAUUACCUUUCAGAACCUGCAAGGUCAACAAGAUUUAAACGCCCGAAUCGGUAAUUGAUCAUCUGAUCGCACUCCCACUGCAAAAGAAAGAUGCAUUUGAGUUAAGAUUACGUUGAAGAUUUGGGUCACAGGUACCCAGUAUGAAGCGAUGAUCAAAGCAAACUCAGAUUGCUUUCUUCUUAACACUCAAGAGCAUGUAUAUGCAAAGUUUGCGGACUUACCAACAGGAGAAGGUGAAGUACAUCUUGCUCAUUUUGCACCUCCACUUCCGUCAAGCCCUCAACAUAAACACCCUUGGUGGCAUCCUCUCGCACCUGGUUGAAGACAAACAUUUGAACUCAGGAUGUCUACAAACAAAUGGUAAUACUAGUCACAGAUACUUCAGUGUAUGAUACGACAGAGAGAGAGAGAGAGAGAGAGAGAGAGAGAGGAACUCGUCUAAGUCAAAGUAUCAUGCAUGCAUCCCAACAUGGCGGGGCUAUGACCUGUAAGUUGGAAGAGGAUGGCUCGAGAAGGUCUGUAAUCUGCUCAUUGUAAAUUUCCAGAAAAGAGCACCUGCACUUGAAUUUCAGAUUCUCGUGCUUCUGUGCUUCUUCA
This is a non-coding RNA of Physcomitrium patens, 876 nucleotides long. The record is from RefSeq and is a predicted model, not a curated record. Lineage: Eukaryota; Viridiplantae; Streptophyta; Bryopsida; Funariales; Funariaceae.